GCAUAUCAAUAAGCGGAGGAAAAGAAACCAACCGGGAUUACCCUAGUAACGGCGAGUGAAGCGGUAAGAGCUCAAAUUUGAAAGCUGGCCCCUUCGGGGUCCGCAUUGUAAUUUGCAGAGGAUGCUUCGGGAGCGGUCCCCAUCUAAGUGCCCUGGAACGGGCCGUCAUAGAGGGUGAGAAUCCCGUAUGGGAUGGGGUGCCCGCGCCCGUGUGAAGCUCCUUCGACGAGUCGAGUUGUUUGGGAAUGCAGCUCUAAUUGGGUGGUAAAUUUCAUCUAAAGCUAAAUAUUGGCCGGAGACCGAUAGCGCACAAGUAGAGUGAUCGAAAGAUGAAAAGCACUUUGAAAAGAGAGUUAAAAAGCACGUGAAAUUGUUGAAAGGGAAGCGCUUGCGAUCAGACUCGCUCGCGGGGUUCAGCCGGCCUUCGGGCCGGUGUACUUCCCCGCGGGCGGGCCAGCGUCGGUUUGGGCGGCCGGUCAAAGGCCCCUGGAAUGUAACGCCUCUCGGGGCGUCUUAUAGCCAGGGGUGCCAUGCGGCCUGCCCGGACCGAGGAACGCGCUUCGGCUCGGACGCUGGCAUAAUGGUCGUAAGCGACCCGUCUUGAAACACGGACCAAGGAGUCUAACAUCUACGCGAGUGUUCGGGUGUCAAACCCGUGCGCGCAGUGAAAGCGAACGGAGGUGGGAACCCUUUGGGUGCACCAUCGACCGAUCCUGAUGUCUUCGGAUGGAUUUGAGUAAGAGCGUAGCUGUUGGGACCCGAAAGAUGGUGAACUAUGCCUGAAUAGGGCGAAGCCAGAGGAAACUCUGGUGGAGGCUCGCAGCGGUUCUGACGUGCAAAUCGAUCGUCAAAUUUGGGUAUAGGGGCGAAAGACUAAUCGAACCAUCUAGUAGCUGGUUCCUGCCGAAG
Molecule: ribosomal RNA, 909 nt
Filed under: Penicillium shearii
Lineage: Eukaryota; Fungi; Ascomycota; Eurotiomycetes; Eurotiales; Aspergillaceae
Description: LSU rRNA
Rfam family: Eukaryotic large subunit ribosomal RNA
Source: RNAcentral